GAUGAACGCUGGCGGCAGGCCUAACACAUGCAAGUCGAGGGGUAGCAGGAUUAAGCUUGCUUAAUUGCUGACGACCGGCGCACGGGUGCGUAACGCGUAUGCAACCUACCUUAUACUGGGGUAUAGCCCGGAGAAAUUCGGAUUAAUCCCCCAUAGUACUAAUGAAUCGCAUGGUUUAUUAGUUAAAGCAUUGCGGUAUAAGAUGGGCAUGCGUCCAAUUAGCUAGAUGGUGAGGUAACGGCUCACCAUGGCUACGAUAGGUAGGGGGCCUGAGAGGGUGGUCCCCCACACUGGUACUGAGACACGGACCAGACUCCUACGGGAGGCAGCAGUGAGGAAUAUUGGUCAAUGGGCGCAAGCCUGAACCAGCCAUGCCGCGUGCAGGAAGAAUGCCCUAUGGGUUGUAAACUGCUUUUAUUUGGGAAUAAACCUCUUUACGUGUAGAGAGCUGAAGGUACCAAAUGAAUAAGCACCGGCUAACUCCGUGCCAGCAGCCGCAGUAA
This 503-nucleotide ribosomal RNA is filed under the name uncultured bacterium. RNAcentral's name for it is "partial 16S ribosomal RNA". It matches the Rfam family "Bacterial small subunit ribosomal RNA", at positions 28 to 523 of the family's 1533-position model. The record is from RNAcentral.